RNAcentral lists this ribosomal RNA (420 nucleotides) under uncultured bacterium. RNAcentral's name for it is "bacterial SSU rRNA". It matches the Rfam family "Bacterial small subunit ribosomal RNA", at positions 355 to 773 of the family's 1533-position model. The record is from RNAcentral.
UAGGGAAUAUUGGACAAUGGUUGCAAGACUGAUCCAGCCAUGCCGCGUGCAGGAAGAAGGCCUUCUGGGUCGUAAACUGCUUUUUUCUGUGGAUAAAAGAUCCCUGCGGGGAGCAUCGAAGGUAACAGAGGAAUAAGCCACGGCUAACUACGUGCCAGCAGCCGCGGUAAUACGUAGGUGGCAAGCGUUGUCCGGAUUUAUUGGGUUUAAAGGGUGCGUAGGCGGUUCUUUAAGUCAGUGGUGAAAUACGGCAGCUCAACUGUCGAGGUGCCAUUGAUACUGGGGAACUUGAGUACUGAUGAGGUAGGCGGAAUGGACGGUGUAGCGGUGAAAUGCUUAGAUAUCGUCCAGAACACCGAUAGCGAAGGCAGCUUACUAAGGAGUAACUGACGCUGAGGCACGAAAGUGUGGGGAUCAAAC